AUUGAACGCUGGCGGCAGGCCUAACACAUGCAAGUCGAGCGGAUGAAGGGAGCUUGCUCCUGGAUUCAGCGGCGGACGGGUGAGUAAUGCCUAGGAAUCUGCCUGGUAGUGAGGGAUAACGUCCGGAAACGGGCGCUAAUACCGCAUACGUCCUGAGGGAGAAAGUGGGGGAUCUUCGGACCUCACGCUAUCAGAUGAGCCUAGGUCGGAUUAGCUAGUUGGUGGGGUAAAGGCCUACCAAGGCGACGAUCCGUAACUGGUCUGAGAGGAUGAUCAGUCACACUGGAACUGAGACACGGUCCAGACUCCUACGGGAGGCAGCAGUAGGGAAUAUUGGACAAUGGGCGAAAGCCUGAUCCAGCCAUGCCGCGUGUGUGAAGAAGGUCUUCGGAUUGUAAAGCACUUUAAGUUGGGAGGAAGGGCAGUAAGUUAAUACCUUGCUGUUUUGACGUUACCAACAGAAUAAGCACCGGCUAACUUCGUG
Molecule: ribosomal RNA, 484 nt
Filed under: uncultured bacterium
Lineage: Bacteria
Description: partial 16S ribosomal RNA
Rfam family: Bacterial small subunit ribosomal RNA
Source: RNAcentral